This 363-nucleotide ribosomal RNA is filed under the name Tetragnatha sp. RNAcentral's name for it is "partial small subunit ribosomal RNA". The record is from RNAcentral. Lineage: Eukaryota; Metazoa; Arthropoda; Arachnida; Araneae; Tetragnathidae.
UGUAUCUAUAUAAGAUAUUGGUAGUAAAUUUUUAUAAACCUCUGUAUAAUGGUGGCAUUUCAUUUUAUUAGAGGAAUAUGUUCAAUAAUCGUAGCCACACGAUCAUUUUUACUUUUAUCUACAUUUUAUAUACCGCCGUUUUGAAUAAAUUCAAAAAUUUUGUUCUAAAUAAAAUUCUAAAAAUUUAGGUAAAGGUGUAAACUACAUAAAAGAUAGAAUGUAUUACAUUGAAUAAAAUUUAAGGAUUAAAUUAAAUAUAAUCUUAAGAAAAAGGAUUUAAAAGUAUUAUUUAAUUAAUAUUAAAAUUUGAAUAAAAAAAUAAAUGUGCACAUAUCGCCCGUCACCCUUAUCUUAAAAUAAGGU